Anguilla rostrata (American eel) is the source of this 81-nucleotide small nucleolar RNA. RefSeq annotates it as small nucleolar RNA SNORD79. The transcript has a single exon. Lineage: Eukaryota; Metazoa; Chordata; Actinopteri; Anguilliformes; Anguillidae. The record is from RefSeq and is a predicted model, not a curated record.
CACUGUCGAGGAUGAUUGUUAAAUACAAUGGGAAUCUCUCUGAAUACUCCUGAAAAGACAAACCUUUUACCUGAGACAGUG